CAUACAACCGACUGGCUUUCCCA
Molecule: microRNA, 23 nt
Filed under: Schistosoma japonicum
Lineage: Eukaryota; Metazoa; Platyhelminthes; Trematoda; Strigeidida; Schistosomatidae
Also listed under: 1 other name
Description: sja-let-7*
Source: RNAcentral